ACCCGAAGCACCUGCACGGGAUAAAGAGCCCGAAGCACCUGCGCAGGAUAAAGAACCCGAAUUGUCUGCGCAGUCACAAGAUAACGAAGCUCUCGGCGCUGAAGGCUCAAGUGAGGAGUUAACGAUAAAUUUACUAAGGCAUUACGGGGCUUUAGGCCCAAUUAUCUUAGUGAAUGAGCUUGAGGCAUUAGGGCUCAAUCUCAUGUCUAUAAAUAGAAGGUCUAUCAUUAGAGUUGAAGGAUUCUAUUCAUUCUAGCACGACACUUAUAACAUGUAACUCUUUCGAAGUAUAGUGAAAAAUCCGAAGAACUCUCGUGGAUGUAGGUGUUGAUUUCAUGUUUCAUCAACUGCCGUCUAUGGAAAAUAGAACUAAGGCGUGAGGUUUUGCUUUCGAAAAAAUUGCGAGCUCAUCGAUCUCCGUUGUACUAGUUCAUCAAAUCAUUUUUCCAGUUUCCGGCGAUAUCACCGCCGGAUCCCGAUCAGACCAGAUUCACAAACCCCAAAGAUUUCCCAAUUUUCACUGCCAAAAUCCCCUAAUCAUCUCCAAUCGAAUUCCUUAGUACAGGUAACUGUUCAUCAGUUAAAUUUUUGGAUUCAAUGUUCUAGAAUUCUGGUCAGCUUCGCAGAUGUCUUCCCCGAUCUAGUUUUGCACCUCCCUCUUCAAAGAUUCCCCACCGCAGCUACUCCCAAUUAUCUGUUCUGAAUCUGCCCCAUUUUUUCUCUAAAAAUACUCCGAUCGAGAAAUGGGAAAUCCUCUAGAUCCGAUCCAAAAUGUGGCAAAAGGAAAUACAUCCGGCAAUGCUGGCCCCUUUUAUCUCGGUCUGAAAAUCUCAAAAUCCUAAUCGAAAAUAUCCUUAGGGGAAUGCAAGAAUUUCUGCCCAAAUCAAGAAAAACCCCCAAUUCCUAAAAUCUGGGCUCAUUCUUCAAAGAUUCUCUACCGCAGCAGCCCCCAACUUCCGGCAGGGACGUGUGCGGUUGAAAUCGAAGUUCCAACACAGACCGUCACUGUCUCUUGAAGAACCUCAAAGAAUCAUACCCCAAAAAUCCAAAAACUCCAAAACAGAUCCACUGCAAAAUCAAUUCUCCUGGAGCCAAAUCGAAGUUACAGCGAUCCCGAGCCCGCGUUAUUGGGAAUUGGGGAGUCUCAUAAAUCGGGCCCUAAAGCUUCUCAGUCACUGAACUUUCAACACAACCCAGGAACCUUUAUUCAAGGUUCGAGCGUAGGUCAGAGUGUGUGGGCCUUAGUCUUCAAUUCCGGCCAGAAGAAGGUGGGUUCGGCAACGGAUCGGGGUCUCAUGCCAGCUGAGUUUAUGAGUGCGGUGCUGAAUAUCAUCUGCUCUAGCUGCCGCAGCAGAAUAGCAGUCUCCCUGACACUGAUCGCCUGGGCACACAACAAUUCUCUAUCCUAAAUUGCAAAUUUCGGCCGUUAGUCGGUGGCUCUCUGAUCUGUUGCUUUGAGUUUCCGGAUCCUAUCUGAUCAAUGGUGGUGAUGGCUGAUCUUGACAGCUCUCUGUUCCUGCUUCGCGCAGCCUACAUCAGGGGAAAAUCGAAGAAGAUCUAUGGGCGUUUCACAGUCGCAGUUAUGACCAAGCCACUUGAUUACUGGCCCAAUUUGAUUGGGAAGACAUCAAUUUAUCAAAGAUUUCAUUCUUCUAUUUUGUGCUGCUUAUCUUGCUUGGAUUUUCUUGUAAUCCUAUCUGAUCCGCUGUGCAAAGGUACAGCAAUGCCUGAGGCAGGGGGUAGGGCUUGAUCUCCUCGAGGAAUUGUUGAUUGAUAACAUGGAGCUCAGCGAAAUAUUAUCCGAGCACGGCGGCGAUAUGGAGUCGAAGAGUAAGUAUAGCUUCCAUCAUAAAAAUGGGAAGACGAGGUCUGCUAUUUGAUUUUGGAAAUUGUGUGCGGGAUAUGCUGGUAAUUGUUUACUCGAGAGAUUAUAUGAUUCGUGAUGUUUUAGUGGUCCUAGCAAAGAUCAAAGACUUAAAUAUCGAGCUUUGUGUAGUCUUCUGCCUGGGGCUUAGAUGAACAUAUUGAUGCAUCAGAAUGCUUGAGUUCUCCAAGUUUAGUAUGCCUAGUUAAUGGUUAACAGUUGUGUGUGAUGUGAAAAUCAUUUAAGAUGUUUGUCAAUUGCUAUUAACAAGCUUGCAUGUUUUAGCUAAUGGUUGAACUGAACAUAUACUACAAUUAUAUGUGUUUGAUUUA
Long non-coding RNA from Salvia miltiorrhiza (redroot sage), 2196 nucleotides. RefSeq lists it as uncharacterized. The transcript is spliced from 2 exons. The record is from RefSeq and is a predicted model, not a curated record. NCBI's taxonomy places the organism in Eukaryota, Viridiplantae, Streptophyta, Magnoliopsida, Lamiales, Lamiaceae.